UACGUAGGGGGCGAGCGUUGUCCGGAGUUACUGGGCGUAAAGCGCACGCAGGCGGUCUGUGAAGUUUGGAAUGACAGUUGGUGGCUCAACCACCAAAGUGCUUUGAAAACUGAUAGACUUGAGGGCUUCAGAGGGACACGGAAUUCCGGGUGGAGUGGUGAAAUGCGUAGAGAUCCGGAGGAACACCAAAGGCGAAGGCAGUGUCCUGGGGAGUACCUGACGCUCAGGUGCGAAAGCCAGGGGAGCGAACGGG
Molecule: ribosomal RNA, 253 nt
Filed under: uncultured bacterium
Lineage: Bacteria
Description: partial 16S ribosomal RNA
Rfam family: Bacterial small subunit ribosomal RNA
Source: RNAcentral